This 70-nucleotide transfer RNA is filed under the name Pachycondyla annamita. RNAcentral describes it as "tRNA-Trp". Lineage: Eukaryota; Metazoa; Arthropoda; Insecta; Hymenoptera; Formicidae. The record is from RNAcentral.
AAAAUUUUAAGUUAAAUUUAAUUAAACUAUAAGCCUUCAAAGUUUAAAAUUAUAAGAUUAUAAAAUUUUA